AGCCAGGCAGGAGGAGCUGGCCAAAGAUGUGGGACAAGCAUUUGAUCAAGAUGAUCUUCAGAAAGCAAAAAAAGUUUUGAUCAAAAUGAAAUAUUUUGCAAGCCUGGAAGAAAAGGUGAAGAAGAAAAAGAUUCCCUCCUGACACCACAUUACUGUGAUGAAUUUUUGCUGUUUUAUAUUUCCGAGGUAACUGGAAGCAGUAAAUCCGCCAUUGUCUUGGUCUUCCUGCUCCUGAGAAAAUACAGAGAGCCCCGCUGCUGGGUAAGACCACAGGUUCAGCGUCCUGCUUCUCACCAGCUGCCUCCAAGCAAGGCAGUCCUUCCUCUGACGACUGAGACGCCGUUGUGGAACCUGGAGGCUCCAGGGAGACAGUGUUGCUCAUAGCCAUCGAGGGCCAAGAGGAGCAGGACUCUGGAGCAGAAGAAGCCGGCUGUCGCUCAGGAAGGUGUGCAUGGGAAUAAAACAGUCUUCUUCAA
Gekko japonicus is the source of this 476-nucleotide long non-coding RNA. RefSeq lists it as uncharacterized. NCBI's taxonomy places the organism in Eukaryota, Metazoa, Chordata, Lepidosauria, Squamata, Gekkonidae. The record is from RefSeq and is a predicted model, not a curated record. The transcript is spliced from 2 exons.